CUACGGGCUGCUCCAGUGGGGAAUAUUGGACAAUGGGGGCAACCCUGAUCCAGCCAUGCCGCGUGUGUGAAGAAGGCCUUUUGGUUGUAAAGCACUUUAAGCAGGGAGGAGAGGCUAAUGGUUAAUACCCAUUAGAUUAGACGUUACCUGCAGAAUAAGCACCGGCUAACUCUGUGCCAGCAGCCGCGGUAAUACAGAGGGUGCGAGCGUUAAUCGGAAUUACUGGGCGUAAAGCGAGUGUAGGUGGCUCAUUAAGUCACAUGUGAAAUCCCCGGGCUUAACCUGGGAACUGCAUGUGAUACUGGUGGUGCUAGAAUAUGUGAGAGGGAAGUAGAAUUCCAGGUGUAGCGGUGAAAUGCGUAGAGAUCUGGAGGAAUACCGAUGGCGAAGGCAGCUUCCUGGCAUAAUAUUGACACUGAGAUUCGAAAGCGUGGGUAGCAAACAGGAUUAGAUACCCGAGUAGUC
Molecule: ribosomal RNA, 465 nt
Filed under: uncultured bacterium
Lineage: Bacteria
Description: partial 16S ribosomal RNA
Rfam family: Bacterial small subunit ribosomal RNA
Source: RNAcentral